AAACGACUCUCGGCAACGGAUAUCUCGGCUCUCGCAUCGAUGAAGAACGUAGCGAAAUGCGAUACUUGGUGUGAAUUGCAGAAUCCCGUGAACCAUCGAGUCUUUGAACGCAAGUUGCGCCCGAAGCCUUGGCUGAGGGCACGCCUGCCUGGGCG
Molecule: ribosomal RNA, 155 nt
Filed under: Saponaria bellidifolia
Lineage: Eukaryota; Viridiplantae; Streptophyta; Magnoliopsida; Caryophyllales; Caryophyllaceae
Description: 5.8S ribosomal RNA
Rfam family: 5.8S ribosomal RNA
About the family: 5.8S ribosomal RNA (5.8S rRNA) is a component of the large subunit of the eukaryotic ribosome.
Source: RNAcentral